Molecule: long non-coding RNA, 2691 nt
Filed under: Equus caballus (horse)
Lineage: Eukaryota; Metazoa; Chordata; Mammalia; Perissodactyla; Equidae
Description: lncRNA (ENSECAG00000049325.1)
Source: RNAcentral
CAAACCCAGAGCUUCUUGCGUGAAAAAGAUUAGAUAUCCUUGAGAAAGUACACUGCAAUGCCAUCACAAGAGGAAGACGGAAGAGAAAUGCAUCAGAAGGGAAAAUCAGAGAGAUUCAUGGUGGGUUCAUCAACCAUUGCUGGCUUUGAAGAUGAAGGGAAUCAAGAGCCAGAGAAUGCAGGUGGCCUCUGGAAGCUGAGAGUGACCCCCGGAUGAAAGCCAGCAAGCAAAUGGGGACCUCAGUCCAAUAAAUGUGUGGAACUAAAUUCUACCAACGACCAGAUUGAGCCUGGAAGCAACAGCUCGAUUUUAGCCUGAUGAGACCCCUGGUUGGAAUUCUAACUUACUGAACUGAGAUAAUAAAUGGGCGUUGUUUUAAGCCUCUAAAUAUGUAGUAAUUUGUUACAUCAGCAAGAGAAAACUGAUACUGAUACCCAGAACAUUUUUGUGGUUCACCAGUCACGGUGAGCUUAAGGGGAGUUGAAGUCAGGUGAUACACGGAAUUUUGGCUCAAGACCAUGUCACAAUGGGCCUAUUAGAUGUGAAAACACAGCCUUCCCACUGUUCAUCCUAUUUCCUAAGUAUAUUAUUAGAUUAGACAUACUCAGCUAAUUUCCAAAAUGGUAUGAAGACUAGCAUGGAAGAAGAGUCUAGAGCCUACCAAAUUAUAAGCUGAAGAAAUGCUAUAUCCCUGGGAAGUCAUAGAGAUGAGAUGCACUAUCAAAACCUUGAAAGAUACAGGAACACAUGGAAAUUCAUACAAAAUCUGUUAAAGGAUAAUGCGAUUGAUUUUUGCAAUAUUCUGAUUGUGGCAUUCUGAUUUGCAAUAUUCUGUGUGCACUGACUUCUCUCUAUAGUGAGAUAAUGAAGCAUAAAGAGGACUUGGGGGAAAAUCACAGAGCUGAAGCUGUGGGCAACAUUGCCUCGGAAAGGAUGCCCACAUUCUCCACUCCCUUCCUCCUCCAGACACGUUCCUCUUCACGCCUAUCUAAGGUCAAAAUUCUAUUAGUAUUUUUCCUGCUGAACCCAGCUGUAUCCAUAGCUCACUCUCAACGAAGUGUUCUAGCCUCGAAGGUGUAUAGGGACCAUAGUGACCCUGCCCCCAAAGCAACAACAAGAAAAAUAAAGACAAAAUAUAUGGAAUAGGUUUUUGAGAUCCUGGACAUCAGGGAACACGAGACAGUGGUCUCUCAGGGACAGGAAACAAAUGAGCCAUGCUGCCCUUCCCCAGGAAAGGAGGAAGACAAAUGCCGCUGUCUGAGAAAGGGAUUAAUUUAAAGCCACAUGGCCAUUUUACUGGAUUAGAUUAUGCAUGAAUUUAUCUGAAAUCUACUCAUUAGAUUUUUGUUUCUACUUCUUUCUCCACUUAUUUCCAGUUCCAGAUGCCAUAGGACACUUUUGUAUCAGUACUUCUGUGUCUUUCAUCUUUUGCCUUGAUGCUGGAAAAUAUCUGCAAUCAAGCAGGUCGUGAUCUGUCAUUGGCCUCUGUCACUUAAUAAUCUCUUGCUCCAAAAUGAGUUAGAUCUCUUAUGGAAAGACUGGACUGCCUUGAUUCGUUAUGAAUGAAUGCUCCCACCCUCUGGAAGUGAUGAGUUUGGUCCAUGUGCUUUGAGCUGUCACCCACUCUAAAUGAUUACGGAUCUGUUAUAUAGCAGAAAUCUGUUAUUACCCAAGAUCCACAAAGACAUUCUGAAAUGAGAGGUAUAGUUGUAUAACUGCAUUGGGGGUCCUGUUCAUGAAAAUAAUUGACACACCUCAUAUUUAUUUCUGAUGAAUCAAGAUACAAAAUAGUGAAAGGACAAGUGUCAAAAAUCUAGGGAGCAAAUUGUUCUUGUUUCUUUCUGGGAUAAAUUUUAGGCCAGUUUUGCAAGAGAAUCUUCUGGGAAUUGGGAUGGAGUCGUUAGUCUUUCAGACUAGGAUGUCAGCACGUUCAGAGAACACCUCCCCUGCAUGAGACCUAUUUAAACUUCCCCGAUUACACAGAGAUUUCAGAGAUUUUUGCUCAGUAGAUGAGUGAAUAGUAAAUAAUUAUGAUACUUCUGGGAAUCAAUUUGAAUUCACUCAUCACUCAACAAAUUCCAGGGAACCUUAAUAGUCUUGUUUGACCAGUUGUUCAAUCCUAAAAGGUCAAAGUCGAUCACAUUCAGUUUGAUAUGUCGUAUGAACUGUGUAUAGGAAUUGAUUCCACAGAGCAAGCCCGUACAUGCCAAGGAGGUUGUUACCACUGAUACCAUGGAAGUGAGUAGUUAAAACAGAAAAAUUGGCUACAACAGAAAAAGAGUGGACAUUUUAUUUUUUCAUAUCACCAAGUCAGAUGCUCUCUUUUCUCAUGGGAAAACUGCUUUAAAAACAUCUCUACUCUGGGAAUGGCUUUGGAAUUCACACACCAACGUUAAUACAGAAUGUCUUGGACAGUAUUAGAGUUAUUUUUAGUACAUGACAGAAGGCAUGCUGUCAGAAUUCUGAAAUUAUAAAUAGUAAUUCUUUCUGCAAUCAUAUCUGAGAUAAUAAGAAUAGGUAAUGUCCAUUCUUUGCAUCCAAUCUUGGUUUUUCACAAAUCUGAAAAUAGCGAUUCUAUCUUUGGAAAUAUAAAUUCAUCACAACAUUUACUAACAUGACUAAGAUUUGGUGCAAGAAGUGUCUGAUUUGAGCAAAUUAGAUGGAAUUAGAUCUCAGUGUAGAAACUUGAGU